UUUACAUUUUUAAUCCUUUUCUUAAUGGACAAAAAAAAAAAACUGGGGCCAGGAUUCAGUCAUAGAGCUGGUCUAGGAUCAGGUCCCACCUGUCCAUGUAAUCUAAUAGGACCAGUAUUCAGUCAUAGAGCUGGUCUAGGAUCAGGUCCCCCUGUCCAUGUAAUCUAAUAGGACCAGUAUUCAGUCAUAGAGCUGGUCUAGGAUCAGGUCCCCCUGUCCAUGUAAUCUAAUAGGACCAGUAUUCAGUCAUAGAGCUGGUCUAGGAUCAGGUCCCCCUGUCCAUGUAAUCUAAUAGGACCAGUAUUCAGUCAUAGAGCUGGUCUAGGAUCAGGUCCCCCUGUCCAUGUAAUCUAAUAGGACCAGUAUUCAGUCAUAGAGCUGGUCUAGGAUCAGGUCCCCCCUGUCCAUGUAAUCUAAUAGGACCAGUAUUCAGUCAUAGAGCUGGUCUAGGAUCAGGUCCCCCUGUCCAUGUAAUCUAAUAGGACCAGUAUUCAGUCAUAGAGCUGAUCUAGGAUCAGGUCCCUCUGUCCAUGUAAUCUAAUAGGACCAGUAUUCAGUCAUAGAGCUGGUCUAGGAUCAGGUCCCCCUGUCCAUGUAAUCUAAUAGGACCAGUAUUCAGUCAUAGAGCGGGUCUAGGAUAAUAUAAUAAUAUAAUAUAUAAUAAUAUAUGCCAUUUAUCAGACGCUUUUAUCCAAAGCGACUUACAGUCAUGUGUGCAUACAUUCUACGUAUGGGUGGUCCCGGGGAUUGAACCCACUACCCUGGCGUUACAAGCACCAUGCUCUACCAACUGAGCUACAGAAGGACCAUAAG
This is a long non-coding RNA of Oncorhynchus keta (chum salmon), 813 nucleotides long. RefSeq lists it as uncharacterized. The record is from RefSeq and is a predicted model, not a curated record. NCBI's taxonomy places the organism in Eukaryota, Metazoa, Chordata, Actinopteri, Salmoniformes, Salmonidae. The transcript has 3 exons.